This 216-nucleotide ribosomal RNA is filed under the name Triticum aestivum (bread wheat). RNAcentral's name for it is "partial small subunit ribosomal RNA". Lineage: Eukaryota; Viridiplantae; Streptophyta; Magnoliopsida; Poales; Poaceae. The record is from RNAcentral.
GGCUGCAGCUCACUGGACUCCAAAUCUGGUGAUAAAACUGUACUACAAUAUGAUGACGUGAUGAAGCUGGAUUUUGGGACACAUAUAGAUGGGCACAUAGUUGAUUCUGCAUUUACUGUCGCAUUUAAUCCCAUGUUUAAUCCGUUGCUUCAGGCAACGAGAGAUGCCACAAAUACUGGAAUCAAGGUAAUUUCUACGCAUUUUGUUUACUCGUAG